GGCUCCGUGGUCAAGCGGUUAAGACACCGCCCUUUCACGGCGGUAACACGGGUUCGAGUCCCGUCGGGGUCA
This 72-nucleotide transfer RNA is filed under the name Staphylococcus saprophyticus. Its description in RNAcentral is "tRNA-Glu". It matches the Rfam family "tRNA". Rfam says of the family: Transfer RNA (tRNA) molecules are approximately 80 nucleotides in length. Lineage: Bacteria; Bacillati; Bacillota; Bacilli; Caryophanales; Staphylococcaceae. The record is from RNAcentral. RNAcentral also lists the same sequence under 1 other name.